UACGUAGGGUGCAAGCGUUAAUCGGAAUUACUGGGCGUAAAGCGUGCGCAGGCGGUUCGCUAAGACAGAUGUGAAAUCCCCGGGCUUAACCUGGGAACUGCAUUUGUGACUGGCGGGCUAGAGUAUGGCAGAGGGGGGGUAGAAUUCCACGUGUAGCAGUGAAAUGCGUAGAGAUGUGGAGGAAUACCGAUGGCGAAGGCAGCCCCCCUGGGCCAAUACUGACGCUCAUGCACGAAAGCGUGGGGAGCAAACAGG
RNAcentral lists this ribosomal RNA (255 nucleotides) under uncultured bacterium. RNAcentral's name for it is "partial 16S ribosomal RNA". It matches the Rfam family "Bacterial small subunit ribosomal RNA", at positions 524 to 776 of the family's 1533-position model. The record is from RNAcentral.